CUGGUUGAUCCUGCCAGUAGUCAUAUGCUUGUCUCAAAGAUUAAGCCAUGCAUGUCUAAGUUCAAGCGAAAAUAAAGUGAAACCGCGAAUGGCUCAUUACAUCAGUUAUGGUUCCUUAGAUCGCACUUACUACUUGGAUAACUGUGGUAAUUCUAGAGCUAAUACAUGCACUGAGCUCCAACCCUCGUGGAAGGAGCGCUUUUAUUAGAUCAAAGCCAAUCGGGCCUUCGGGUCCGUACCGUUGGUGACUCUGAAUAACUUUGCUGAUCGCAUGGUCUCGUACCGGCGACGUAUCUUUCAAGUGUCUGCCUUAUCAACUGUCGAUGGUAGGUUAUGCGCCUACCAUGGUUGUAACGGGUAACGGGGAAUCAGGGUUCGAUUCCGGAGAGGGAGCCUGAGAAACGGCUACCACAUCCAAGGAAGGCAGCAGGCGCGCAAAUUACCCACUCCCGGCACGGGGAGGUAGUGACGAAAAAUAACGAUACGGAACUCACAUGAGGCUCCGUAAUCGGAAUGAGUACACUUUAAAUCCUUUAACGAGGAUCUAUUGGAGGGCAAGUCUGGUGCCAGCAGCCGCGGUAAUUCCAGCUCCAAUAGCGUAUAUUAAAGUUGUUGCGGUUAAAAAGCUCGUAGUUGGAUCUCGGUUUCGGGCGGGUGGUGCGCCUUGCGGUGUUUACUGUCUGCCCGGACGAUUUUGUUGGUUCGUUCGUGGUUCUCUUAACCGAGUGCCACGGGUGGCCAGCACGUUUACUUUGAAAAAAUUGGAGUGCUCAAAGCAGGCGCUACAGCCUGAACAUUAGUGCAUGGAAUAAUGGAAUAGGACCUCGGUUCUAUUUCGUUGGCUUUCGGAGUCGAGGUAAUGAUUAAUAGGAACAGACGGGGGCAUUCGUACUGCGACGUUAGAGGUGAAAUUCUUGGAUCGUCGCAAGACGAACUACUGCGAAAGCAUUUGCCAAGAAUGUUUUCAUUAAUCAAGAACGAAAGUUAGAGGUUCGAAGGCGAUCAGAUACCGCCCUAGUUCUAACCAUAAACGAUGCCGACCGGCGAUCCGCCGUCGUUAAUUGAAUGACUCGGCGGGCAGCCUCCGGGAAACCAGAGUGUUUGGGUUCCGGGGGAAGUAUGGUUGCAAAGCUGAAACUUAAAGGAAUUGACGGAAGGGCACCACCAGGAGUGGAGCCUGCGGCUUAAUUUGACUCAACACGGGAAAUCUCACCAGGCCCGGACACCGGAAGGAUUGACAGAUUGAGAGCUCUUUCUUGAUUCGGUGGGUGGUGGUGCAUGGCCGUUCUUAGUUGGUGGAGCGAUUUGUCUGGUUAAUUCCGAUAACGAACGAGACUCUGGCCUACUAACUAGAUGUAGGAUCCCUUUGUGGGUCCGUCACUGCUUCUUAGAGGGACGGGCGGCUUUUAGCCGCACGAGAAUGAGCAAUAACAGGUCUGUGAUGCCCUUAGAUGUUCUGGGCUGCACGCGCGCUACACUGAAGGAAUCAGCGUGUGUUCCCUACCCGAAAGGGUUGGGAAACCCGUUGAACCUCCUUCGUGAUGGGGAUUGGGGAUUGCAAUUAUUCCCCAUGAACGAGGAAUUCCCAGUAGGCGCGAGUCAUAAGCUUGCGUCGAUUACGUCCCUGCCCUUUGUACACACCGCCCGUCGCUACUACCGAUCGAGUGAUUUAGUGAGGACUUCGGACUGGUCUUCGUGGUGGCUCUCGAGUCAUGACGGAGUUCCGGAAAGAUGCCCAAACUUGAUCACUUAGAGGAAGUAAAAGUCGUAACAAGGUUUCCGUAGUGAACCUGCA
Molecule: ribosomal RNA, 1795 nt
Filed under: Sminthuridae environmental sample
Lineage: Eukaryota; Metazoa; Arthropoda; Collembola; Symphypleona; Sminthuridae
Description: SSU rRNA
Rfam family: Eukaryotic small subunit ribosomal RNA
Source: RNAcentral